This 435-nucleotide long non-coding RNA is filed under the name Androctonus crassicauda. Lineage: Eukaryota; Metazoa; Arthropoda; Arachnida; Scorpiones; Buthidae. The record is from RNAcentral.
CAGGUGGUGACUGUCUUUUCCCUAGUUUGUCAUUCUUAUGGAUGAUUUGAAACUUUCUCUUUUGGAUACAACUUCUGGGAGGCGCUUCUCCAUCUCUUCAUGGGGGUGGUGGUCUCGGGGCCUCUUCCGAGGGUACCGAGCCCACUGGCGUGCCUCAGGGCGGUGGAGCAGUCUCCUGGUGUUGGUGGUGCCUCCAGGAGUAAACCUGGUCUGUGGAAGGCUUGUUUGUCUGGAGCGGCUAGGCAAAAGUGGAGGAAGGCUAGAGGGCAGAUUGCUGGUACCAGGGGUAUUUUGCUACUGGGUGGCUCCUCUCAACUAGCUACUUUGUCUGGAUCCCCUGCUGUUACUUUAAGACAUCAGGGGUUCCAGAUCUGUGGUACCUAUUCCAUCACUUGAGGAGGCAGGACCUUCGAAGGAACCUCGGGGCUUACAACC